GUCGAGGGGCAGCAUGGUCUUAGCUUGCUAAGGCCGAUGGCGACCGGCGCACGGGUGAGUAACACGUAUCCAACCUGCCGUCUACUCUUGGACAGCCUUCUGAAAGGAAGAUUAAUACAAGAUGGCAUCAUGAGUCCGCAUGUUCACAUGAUUAAAGGUAUUCCGGUAGACGAUGGGGAUGCGUUCCAUUAGAUAGUAGGCGGGGUAACGGCCCACCUAGUCUUCGAUGGAUAGGGGUUCUGAGAGGAAGGUCCCCCACAUUGGAACUGAGACACGGUCCAAACUCCUACGGGAGGCAGCAGUGAGGAAUAUUGGUCAAUGGGCGCAGGCCUGAACCAGCCAAGUAGCGUGAAGGAUGACUGCCCUAUGGGUUGUAAACUUCUUUUAUAAAGGAAUAAAGUCGGGUAUGUAUACCCGUUUGCAUGUACUUUAUGAAUAAGGAUCGGCUAACUCCGUGCCAGCAGCCGCGGUAAUACGGAGGAUCCGAGCGUUAUCCGGAUUUAUUGGGUUUAAAGGGAGCGUAGAUGGAUGUUUAAGUCAGUUGUGAAAGUUUGCGGCUCAACCGUAAAAUUGCAGUUGAUACUGGAUAUCUUGAGUGC
RNAcentral lists this ribosomal RNA (599 nucleotides) under uncultured bacterium. RNAcentral's name for it is "bacterial SSU rRNA". It matches the Rfam family "Bacterial small subunit ribosomal RNA", at positions 61 to 649 of the family's 1533-position model. The record is from RNAcentral.